This 1488-nucleotide ribosomal RNA is filed under the name uncultured Bordetella sp. Its description in RNAcentral is "partial 16S-23S ribosomal RNA intergenic spacer". It matches the Rfam family "Bacterial small subunit ribosomal RNA". Lineage: Bacteria; Pseudomonadati; Pseudomonadota; Betaproteobacteria; Burkholderiales; Alcaligenaceae. The record is from RNAcentral.
GGUUCGAUUAUGGCUCAGAUUGAACGCUGGCGGGAUGCUUUACACAUGCAAGUCGAACGGCAGCACGGACUUCGGUCUGGUGGCGAGUGGCGAACGGGUGAGUAAUGUAUCGGAACGUGCCUAGUAGCGGGGAUAACUACGCAGCGUAGCUAAUACCGCAUAUUGCCCUUCGGGGGAAAGUGGGACCUUUCGGGCCUCGCACUAUUAGAGCGGCCGAUAUCGGAUUAGUUAGUUGGUGGGGUAACGGUCACCUCAAGGCGACGAUCCGUAGCUGGUUUGAGAGGACGACCAGCCACACUGGGACUGAGACACGGCCCAGACUCCUACGGGAGGCAGCAGUGGGGAAUUUUGGACAAUGGGGGAAACCCUGAUCCAGCCAUCCCGCGUGUGCGAUGAAGGCCUUCGGGUUGUAAAGCACUUUUUGGCAGGGAAAGAAACGGCACGGGAUAAUACCCCGUGCAACUGACGGUACUCUGCAGAAUAAGCACCGGCUAACCACGUGCCAGCAGCCGCGGUAAUGCUUAGGUGCAAGCGUUAAUCGGAAUUACUGGGCGGUAAGCGUGCGCAGGCGGUUCGGAAAGAAAGAUGUGAAAUCCCAGAGCUUAACUUUGGAACUGCAUUUUUAACUACCGGGCUAGAGUGUGUCAGAGGGAGGUGAAUUCGUUAUGCGUAGCAGUGAAAUGCGUAGAUAUGCGGAGGAACACCGAUGGCGAAGGCAAGUGGGCCUCCCCGGGAUAACACUGACGCUCAUGCACGAAAGCGUGGGGAGCAAACAGGAUUAGAUACCCCUGGUAGUCCACGCCCUAAACGAUGUCAACUAGCUGCUAGCCUUCGGGCCUUGGUAGCGCAGCUAACGCGUGAAGUUGACCGCCUGGGGAGUACGGUCGCAAGAUUAAAAACUCAAAGGAAUUGACGGGGACCCGCACAAGCGGUGGAUGAUGUGGAUUAAUUCGACAACGCGAAAAACCUUACCUACCCUGACAUGUCUUGAAUGCUGAAGAGAUUUGCAGUGCUCGCAAGAGAACCGGAACACAGGUGCUGCAUGGCUGUCGUCAGCUCGUGUCGAGAUGUUGGGUUAAGUCCUGCAACGAGCGCAACCCUUGUCAUUAGUUGCUACGAAAGGGCACUCUAAUGAGACUGCCGGUGACAAACCGGAGGAAGGUGGGAUGAUUGUCAAGUCCUCAUGGCCCUUAUGGGUAGGGCUUGACGUCAUACAAUGGUCGGGACAGAGGGUCGCCAACCCGCGAGGGGGAGCCAAUCCCAGAAACCCGAUCGUAGUCCGGAUCGCAGUCUGCAACUCGACUGCGUGAAGUCGGAAUCGCUAGUAAUCGCGGAUCAGCAUGUCGCGGUGAAUACGUUCCCGGGUCUUGUACACACCGCCUGUCACACCAUGGGAGUGGGUUUUACCAGAAGUAGUUAGCCUAACCGCAAGGGGGGGGCGAUUACCACGUAGGAUUCAUGACUGGGGUGAAGUCGUAACAAGGUAAC